CCUACGGGUGGCAGCAGUGAGGAAUAUUGGUCAAUGGUCGCGAGCCUGAACCAGCCAAGUAGCGUGAAGGAUGACUGCCCUACGGGUUGUAAACUUCUUUUGUAAAGGAAUAAAGUGAGGCACGCGUGCCUUUUUGUAUGUACUUUAUGAAUAAGGAUCGGCUAACUCCGUGCCAGCAGCCGCGGUAAUACGGAGGAUCCGAGCGUUAUCCGGAUUUAUUGGGUUUAAAGGGAGCGUAGUUGGGGUGUUAAGUCAGUGGUGAAAGUUUGCGGCUCAACCGUAAGAUUGCCAUUGAGACUGGCAGCCUUGAGUAGAGUUGAGGUAGGCGGAAUGCGUGGUGUAGCGGUGAAAUGCUUAGAUAUCACGAAGAACUCCGAUUGCGAAGGCAGCUUACUAAACUGCCACUGACGUUGAUGCUCGAAAGUGUGGGUAUCAAACAGGAUUAGAUACCCGAGUAGUC
Molecule: ribosomal RNA, 460 nt
Filed under: uncultured bacterium
Lineage: Bacteria
Description: partial 16S ribosomal RNA
Rfam family: Bacterial small subunit ribosomal RNA
Source: RNAcentral